AGUGGCGCACGGGUGCGUAACGCGUGAGCAACCUGCCUCUAUCAGGGGGAUAGCCUCUCGAAAGAGAGAUUAACACCGCAUAACAUAUCAGACCGGCAUCGGUCAGAUAUUAAAUAUUUAUAGGAUAGAGAUGGGCUCGCGUGACAUUAGCUAGUUGGUAGGGUAACGGCUUACCAAGGCGACGAUGUCUAGGGGCUCUGAGAGGAGAAUCCCCCACACUGGUACUGAGACACGGACCAGACUCCUACGGGAGGCAGCAGUAAGGAAUAUUGGUCAAUGGGCGGAAGCCUGAACCAGCCAUGCCGCGUGCAGGAUGACUGCCCUAUGGGUUGUAAACUGCUUUUGUCCAGGAAUAAACCUGUCUACGUGUAGAUAGCUGAAUGUACUGGAAGAAUAAGGAUCGGCUAACUCCGUGCCAGCAGCCGCGGUAAUACGGAGGAUCCGAGCGUUAUCCGGAUUUAUUGGGUUUAAAGGGUGCGUAGGCGGCCAGUUAAGUCAGGGGUGAAAUACGGUGGCUCAACCAUCGCAGUGCCUUUGAUACUGACGGGCUUGAAUCCAUUU
RNAcentral lists this ribosomal RNA (561 nucleotides) under Sphingobacterium sp. RNAcentral's name for it is "bacterial SSU rRNA". It matches the Rfam family "Bacterial small subunit ribosomal RNA", at positions 94 to 653 of the family's 1533-position model. Lineage: Bacteria; Pseudomonadati; Bacteroidota; Sphingobacteriia; Sphingobacteriales; Sphingobacteriaceae. The record is from RNAcentral.